AUCCUGUAAAGCAGAGAACACAGCAGUUCCCGGUGCCCUCUAGUACAGCAAUCGUGCUCUGAGGUUUUCAUUUUUUUUCCAGAGACUGUACAUUCACCAGCUGGAUGAUCGGGAGUGGAAGUCUAAGGAGUUUACAGGCACAUUCCUGGAUCCUCAUUCUGAAUCUCCUUUCUAUGGCCGACUGGACGUGGUUGUACUCGAAGGGUUGUUUAACUUGUCAUGCCAUCUCCGCAGCUAAUGUGCCUUACUUUAGCAGCAGAAAAGAAAUCUCGUGAUGACAUACGGCGGUCAUGUGUAUACAGAGAGUAGAGCAGUGGGCUAAGCACACACCCCUGAGGUGCGCCAGUGUUGAUCGUCAGCGAGGAGGAGAUGUUAUCACCAAUCCACACAGAUUGUGGUCUUCCAGUUAGGAAGUCAUGGAUCCAAUUGCAGAGGGAGGUACAGGUUCUGCAACUUCUCAUUCAGGACUUUUUGAGAUAAUUGAAAAUUGCAAGUAAGCACUGUGAGAAAAUGGACAACAUCAGCCUUCGUGCAGUUAUCCGCUACCUCGGUCUCAAUGGCUUAUCACCCAAGGACAUGAUGGCAACACUAGGGGAGAAUGAAAAAUAAAUGUGCUAGGUUUUCUAAAACUGGCUCCUUCUACUUUAGGCCACGAACUUAUCAAUCACCCCUCAUAGAUCUUAGCUUUCCCUUCACUUGGUAGACCUCUAUCACUGUUUGUUUCAAUUACUCUUUGUUCU
Long non-coding RNA from Mobula hypostoma (lesser devil ray), 740 nucleotides. RefSeq lists it as uncharacterized. The record is from RefSeq and is a predicted model, not a curated record. NCBI's taxonomy places the organism in Eukaryota, Metazoa, Chordata, Chondrichthyes, Myliobatiformes, Myliobatidae. The transcript has 4 exons.